GAGGAGUCUUUCUUCCAGCUCUCCCCUGAAAGUCCUCCAGGACUUUUUUCUGCCUUUUGUUUCCCUCCCCGGGAGUCGGCGCGACAGUGAAUUUCCGUUUCCUGCGGUGUCCAAGCGGACUUGAGGAGUCGCAGUUGUGAGCAGGUUAGAGUUAGUUGUUAUUGGUAAACAGCCACUAUGGAGACUAAGGACCAGAAGAAACAAAGAAAGAAAAACAGUGGACCCAAAGCUGAAAAGGAAAAGAAGCGGCAUCUGCAGGAUCUCCAGCUAGGAGACAAAGAAGAUGCCUGGAAGAGAAAUCCCAACGCUUUUGCAGUUCAGUCUGCUGUGUGGAUGGCUCGAUCCUUUCACAGGACUCAGGAUUUGAAGAAAAAAAAGCAUCAUAUUCCAGUGGUUGAUCGAACUCCAGUAGAGCCCCCACCAAUAGUGGUAGUGGUGACGGGGCCUCCAAAGUUGGAAAGAGCACUUUGAUACAAUGCCUCAUUCGGAACUUCAUUGGCAGAAGUUGACCGAGAUCAGAGGCCCUGUGACGAUCGUGUCAG
This 542-nucleotide small RNA is filed under the name Pongo abelii (Sumatran orangutan). Its description in RNAcentral is "processed transcript". Lineage: Eukaryota; Metazoa; Chordata; Mammalia; Primates; Hominidae. The record is from RNAcentral.